UGCGUAGGCGGAAUAUUAAGUCAGUGGUGAAAUCCUGCGGCUCAACCGUAGAACUGCCAUUGAUACUGAUAUUCUUGAACGUAGUUGAGGUAGGCGGAAUGUGUAAUGUAGCGGUGAAAUGCUUAGAUAUUACACAGAACACCGAUUGCGAAGGCAGCUUACUAAACUAUGAUUGACGCUGAGGCACGAAAGCGUGGGGAGCGAACAGGAUUAGAUACCCUGGUAGUCC
RNAcentral lists this ribosomal RNA (229 nucleotides) under uncultured bacterium. Its description in RNAcentral is "partial 16S ribosomal RNA". It matches the Rfam family "Bacterial small subunit ribosomal RNA", at positions 568 to 796 of the family's 1533-position model. The record is from RNAcentral.